This 253-nucleotide ribosomal RNA is filed under the name uncultured bacterium. Its description in RNAcentral is "partial 16S ribosomal RNA". It matches the Rfam family "Bacterial small subunit ribosomal RNA", at positions 524 to 776 of the family's 1533-position model. The record is from RNAcentral.
UACAGAGACUGCAAGCGUUACUCGGAUUCACUGGGCGUAAAGGGAGCGCAGGCGGACCGGUGUGUCAGAUGUGAAACCCCAGGGCUCAACCCUGGGACUGCGUCUGAAACUGCCGGUCUAGGGACUCGGAGGGGCUAGUGGAAUUCCUGGUGUAGCGGUGGAAUGCGCAGAUAUCAGGAGGAACACCAAUAGCGAAGGCAGCUCGCUGGGACGUACUGACACUGAGGCGCGGAAAGCGUGGGGAGCGAACAGG